AUUAACUAAUUUCCAAAUUUCGUUUUGGUCUGAACCUUGAACAAAUUUCGUGAUUUGGGGAGUUCAAACUUAGGCCUUAGUUAUGGGCUUGGGUUUAAACUAAAUAAAGGUGAAACAAUAACUAGGGAGUGCAGCUAGAUUUUUAUUUUGUUACUCCAAAAUCUUCUUGUUCGUUUUUAUUGCUUCUCUACUCAACGCUUCACUAUGAGCAGAUCAGGGCAGCCACCAGAUUUGAAGAAUUAAACCUAAUGCAAACAGGAUGAUUGUUGGUACCCUCAGGGGUUUUGACCAGUUCAUAAACUUAGUUGUUGAUGUUGAAGUCAACGGCAAUGAAAAUAACGAAAUAGGAAUGGUGGUAAUUAGAGGAAACAGUGUGGUUACUGUUGAAGCACUUGAGCCUGUGAACAGGGGCUGACUUCUGUUUUAUUGUAAUAUUUCUCAUUAAUUGCAAUGUUUGAAAUGGUGUGUAUUUUGAACAUUGUAGAUGGCUUACUUCUGAGACUAACAUGGAAGUGUGGAUCUUAAGGUCAUUUGGCCAUUACUUUGGAGUUCAUUUCUUUUCUCAGCUGAUUUGUUAGUGUAGCGCACUGUGCAUACCACUAUGAUUUUUUAAUGGGAU
Molecule: non-coding RNA, 619 nt
Organism: Arachis ipaensis
Lineage: Eukaryota; Viridiplantae; Streptophyta; Magnoliopsida; Fabales; Fabaceae
Source: RefSeq, a predicted model, not a curated record